GAACGCGAUGAGAUACGUUUAGUUUUAGCACAAACAAACAGACGUAACACUCUGAUAAUUCCCAUCGUACUUUGAUUUAACGAUGUACGCACCACCCAGCAUCGAAAACCCGUCAGCAGCGAGCGCCCUGCUGUGACGACUAGGUGCAGGAAAGGUAGGUGAAAAUUUGGUGGCUGAAUUCAGGCAGGACGAGCAUAAAUGUAAAUAUAAAUAAGAAGAGUUUGUAAACAGUAUCAUAUAGUAGCCAUUGCAAAUAGUAGAAAUUGAAUUCUAGUGCUAACUGUGAUUUGCAGCUAAAAAACUAAUUCCAAGUUGAAGAGGAGAGUAAAAAAGUAGCUCUAAUAGUUAAUUUGAAUACGGUGUUUGAGUGAGGUAUUUCGGAAGAUAGCUGUAAGUAAAUAAAAGCUUUGAAUUUGUUGAUAUUUAUUCAUGGUAAUUUGUAGUGAUUCCAAAGCGAGUCCCGUGCAGCGAAACGCAACCUGAAAAGGAGAAAGGGGUGAAACGCACUAUAAAAUGUAAGUCGGAAAUUAUUAUAAGUUUUGUAAUCGGUAAUUAAUAGAAUACAUUUUAGUUUCAAGCUGUUGUAACAAAGUACACUGCUGUGGAAAUUUUAUUUCAAGAACUGGUCCGAACAUAUUCUUGAAAAUUUUAUAAUGUCGCGAUCAAUUCAAGACCCGGAAAAGACGGGAUUUAACUGCGCGGGAUGUCGUCGUCCGGAUGAUGACGAAAGUGAGAUGGUGUUUUGUGACCAUUGCCAGCGUUGGUACCAUUUCGGGUGCGCCGGUGUUUCGGCUGAAGUGAGGGAUGUUUCGUGGUCCUGUGAAGAGUGUCUGCGGCGAUCGGCGGACAAAGAGGGGCCUCCCGGCCUGGAAGAGGAGUGCGAGAAACUCGAGAAGGAGAUGGAGAAGGAGAGACAGGCCAUGGAACUGCAAACGAUCCUACACAGGAAGCGGCUGGAACACCAGAAGAAGCUGUUUCUGCUGCGGCAGGAAGCGGAAAGAGAAAGGCGCGAAAUGGAGUUGGCGUACGAGAAGGAGCAAAUGGAGCUACAAGCGGCCGAAGAAGAAGCGCACCGGAAGAAGCGCGACGAAGUGCUGAAGCAGGUGCAGAAAAGGCUGGAGAAAGUGAAGCUCGAUUCGGCGAGGGAAGAGGUAGCGGAACUGGAGGAAGAUGGAGCAUCCGGAGGCGAAAAAGGAGGAGUCAAGGAAGGUAGGAAGUCCAAGCAAGCGAAGUCGGGGAUGGAAGAGCCGGAAAAAGAGGAGCCUGAGAAGAGAAAGUCGGGCAAAUCGGACCGGAAACUAGCUAAACCGGCCAAAGCAGACCGCGAGGAUUACCGUGGAGCCUUCAGCAAGUUCUCCACACCGAAGGCAUCUGGAAUUGCACCACCCGUCCUGCAGGACAUAACCUCGCUCCCAGCGGUGAGCCACAAGAAAACUCCGCUCGGCCACCCGGAGGUGCAGAAGAAGAAGAAGAGGCCACAGUUCGAAGAAGACGUCGCUCUACGCUCGUACCAAGCCAGCGAACCAAGUGAAGAGGAGUCCGAAGAAUCGGAUUCGGAGUCGGAAGAAGAGAGUUCGUCGCAGGAAGAAGACUUCGGAAUGCAAUCCGAGGUAAUGGUGCGUGGUCCAACGAAGGCCCAACUCUCCGCUCGGCAGUUUCUGUCAAAGAAGCUUCCGACAUUCACGGGGCGGCUCGAGGAAUGGCCGAUGUUUAUCAGCGCCUACGAGACGUCCACAACGGCUUGCGGGUUUUCGAACGUCGAGAAUCUGGCGCGACUUCAAGAGUGUUUGAAGGGUCAAGCACUAGAAGCGGUAAGAAGCAGGCUCCUACUUCCGAGUGCAGUACCGCAAAUCAUCAAAACCUUGCGGAUGCUGUACGGCAGGCCUGAGCAGUUGCUGAACAUGCUGCUGUCGAAUGUGCGGAAGGCUCCGUCUCCAAGAGCGGACAAGUUGGCAUCGUUCAUCCAGUUCGGUGUCGUCGUGCAGCAGCUAACCGAUCAUUUGGAGGCGACAGGUCUGACUGCGCAUCUCAUCAACCCGAUGCUCAUCCAGGAGUUGACGGAGAAGUUGCCGGCCAGUACGCAGCUGGAAUGGGUGCGGUAUCGGAGGAAGGCCCAGCUCGUGACGCUCCGGACAUUAUCCAACUUUCUCUCGAGGAUUGUCAAGGAUGCUAGCGAGAUCACUCCGUAUUGCGAGUCGGCGUCCAUCGCAUCGGAUCAAGCGUUCCGGAAGAAGAAGGGAAGAAAGGAGCAAGAAGGAUUUCUGCACACGCAUAGUGCCGAAGCCAGCGGAGUCGCCAACCAGGCUCCGAAUCGGGAGAAGAAGCCCUGCAGGAUCUGCGGCCGCUGCGAUCAUCGUAUCCGGAACUGCGAGAGCUUCAAGAGGAUGAGGUUGCCAGAAAGAUGGGAGGCGGUACGGAAAUGGAGGCUCUGCUAUCUGUGCCUCAACGAGCACGGAAGUGCACGCUGCAAGCUCAACAUGCGGUGCAACGUGAACCAGUGCAACGAACGCCACAAUCCGCUGCUGCAUAUCGAGCAGAGUGUUAGCACUAACUGCAACGUGCACCUACAUCGGCAGUCGGUGAUUUUUCGAAUGAUACCGAUCACGUUGUACAACGGGAAGCUCAGCGUGGACACGAUUGCGUUCCUGGAUGAGGGGUCGUCAUACACGCUACUGGAAAAGUCGCUGGCGAUCGCGCUGCAAGUCCAAGGCGUAACGCAACCGCUCCGAGUGACCUGGACAGCGGGUGUAUCCAGAGUGGAGAAGCAGUCCCAAAGGGUGGAGCUCUUUGUAUCGGCAAGAGGAUCGACGCAACGCUUUCGCAUCAAAGCCGCCCAUACGGUGGACAGUUUAAAGUUGCCGCAGCAAACGGUCUCCAUGGCAGAGGUCAUCGGAGGACAUUCCCACCUGCGAGGACUUCCAGUAACAGAAUUCUCACGUGGAGUUCCGCAAAUCCUCAUCGGCCUCAAGGACAUCCAUCUAUACGCUCCUUUGGAAUCCAGGAUCGGCAAGUCUGACGAACCGAUCGCCGUCCGAUCUAAGCUAGGCUGGACGAUCUACGGGCCGACGUGUGCAAGCCGGAACGAGCCCGGCAUUGUUGGUCACCAUGAUUGCGAAACGGUGACGAAUCAAGAGUUGCACGACAUGUUGCGAAGCCACUACACCAUGGAAGAGUCGGUGAUUUCCGUGGCGCUACUGCCGGAAUCCGAAGAAGACAAGCGAGCGAAGGCGAUCCUCAACAGUACGACCGUACGAGUUGGCGACCGUUUUGAGACGGGGCUAUUGUGGAAGGAGGACAAGGUGCGUUUUCCCGACAGUUAUUCGAUGGCGGCGAAACGAUUCCGCUGUCUGGAGAGGCGGCUAGCGAAAGACGACCAGCUGCGCAAGAAGGUGAGCGAGCUGAUCAACGAUUAUGCAGCGAAAGGCUACAUUCACGUAGCGACAGAGGCCGAACUGAGGCGGUUCGAGCCGAACGAAGUGUGGUACCUGCCGAUCAGCGUGGUGGUGCAUCCAAAGAAGCCGGGAAAAGUGCGUCUGGUGUGGGACGCAGCAGCGGCGGUCAACGGAGUAUCGCUGAACUCACAACUGCUGAAGGGACCGGACAUGUUAACUCCGCUCCCCAACGUCCUAGCGAAAUUCCGUGAGCGAGUAGUAGGCUUCGGCGGCGACAUCAAGGAAAUGUACCUCCAAGUUCGAGUGCGAGACGCAGACAAGAGAGCGCGGUUUGUGUUCCGUGGAAGUGAGUCAGAGAAGAUGGAGGUCUACAUCAUAGACGUGACGAUGUUCGGCGCGACAAGCUCUCCGUGUACGGCGCAAUACAUCAAGAACCGGAACGCAGAAGAGUAUGCCGGACAGUUUCCGGAAGCGGCCGAAGCGAUUGUGGAAAACCAUUACGUGGACGACUAUUUCGAUAGCACGGACACGGUCGAAGAAGCGGUGAAGCGGGCCCAAGAGGUGAAGUUCGUCCAUUCCAAAGGCGGAUUCGAGAUCCGGAACUGGGUGUCCAAUUCGGGCGCAUUUCUGGAAGGCAUCGGCGAGCGUGCACCUGAUCAAAGCGUUCAGAUUCUUCAGAACAAGGAGUCAAAUCUAGAGCGAGUCCUGGGAAUAGUGUGGAAUCCAGUCAGCGACGAAUUCACGUUCCUGGCCAAGUUCCGGGAAGAUCUGGCGCCGUAUUUCUCCGGCGAACGUCGACCGACAAAAAGAGUGGUGAUGAGCAGCGUUAUGAGCCUGUUCGAUCCGCUAGGAAUGCUGGCUACCUUCGUUAUCCACGGGAAAAUGAUGAUCCAAGAUCUGUGGCGUAGUGGCAGCGACUGGGACCAACCAAUCGACGACGAAAGCUGCGAAAAGUGGAAUCGGUGGAUUGCUCGGCUCCCGGAGAUCGAGAACGUGAAAAUUCCCCGUUUCUACUUCCAAGGUUCGAGGUCAGUGGAUUACAACACUGUACAGCUUCACGUGCUGGUAGAUGCCAGCCAAGAUGCGUAUGGAGCAGCAGCAUACUUCCGUGUGCUCACGGGAAACGGGCCAGUUUGCGCGCUGGUGAUGGCGAGGUCGAAGGUAGCUCCAUUAAAGAUGAUGUCCGUCCCGAGGCUGGAGCUGCAGGCGGCGGUGAUCGGAGCAAGGUUGCUGCAAACCGUCGUGGAAGCGCACUCGCUGGAAAUCAAGCAGCGGUUCAUCUGGUCAGAUUCCAGAACAGUCGUAUCAUGGAUCCAUUCGGAGCAGCGUAGGUACAAACCGUUCGUGGCUUUCCGGAUCGGCGAGAUUCUCAGCCUGACGAAGCACAGCGAGUGGCGGUGGAUUUCCACGAAGAACAAUAUCGCCGACGAUUUGACGAAGUGGAAGAGCGGCAGCAGUUUGGAUUCGAACGGACCGUGGUUUCGAGGUCCGAGAUUCCUUUAUCAGCCGGAACAGCGAUGGAUGAAGCAGGAAGUGGUAGAGCCGAACACGCCAGAAGAGGUUCGGGCAUGCCAUCUGUUCCACGACCUUUCAGCAGAAGAGCCGAUGGUCGACGUGUCCCGCAUUUCCCGUUGGAAAGUGCUGGUCCGGACGGUAGCAUGCGUGUACCGUUUCAAAUCUAACUGCGUCAGGAAGCGGAAAGGGCUGGCGAUCGAGGCUGUUCCGGCACCACCAAGAGUGCGAAGCGCAGCGAAGAAGGCAAUACCAGCGAUAACAGUCCCACUGAAGCGAGAGGAGUAUCAGCGAGCGGAAACGUACCUGUGGCGGUCGGCGCAGGCCGAUGUCUACGGAGAAGAAAUCAGGACGUUGGCGAAGAACCGUGAAGUUCCACGCGGCGAGUGGCAGCCGAUAGAAAAGUGUAGCAGCCUGUACAACGAUAGCCCGUUUUUGGACGCGGAUGGUGUGCUCCGGAUGGAAGGCAGAGCGGCUCAGGGUUCAUUUCUCCCUUUUGAAUUGCGGUUUCCGGUGAUUCUUCCGAAGCGGCAUCCCACCACUCGGAAGUUGCUUGAGUUCUAUCACCAGCAGGCGGCUCACGCAAACGCGGAGACAGUGAUCAACGAUGUCCGGCAACGUUUCCGGAUCCCGAAUCUACGAGCGGAGUUGAAGGCGGUGGCGAAGGCUUGCGUGUGGUGCAGAACGAAGAAGUGCGUGCCGAAGAUUCCCAGGAUGGCUCCCCUUCCGUUGGCGCGGAUCACUCCUGGCUGGCGGCCGUUCAGCUUCACAGGGGUGGACUAUUGCGGUCCGGUCACAGUUACGGUUGGGCGUAGGUCGGAAAAGCGGUGGAUCUGCCUCUUCACGUGCAUGACGACGAGAGCGAUUCACCUGGAAGUGGCUCACAGUUUGACGGCGCAGUCGUGUUUGAUGGCGAUCCGGCGUUUUGUGUGUCGGCGGGGCAAACCGGUCGAAUUCUAUUCAGACAACGGGACGAACUUUCAGGGAGCCAGUAAGGAGAUUGUGCGGAAGAUAGAAGGAGACUGCGACGAAGCUUUCACUGACGCGAGGACAAGGUGGAAUUUCAACCCGCCGAGCGCGCCCCACAUGGGAGGCGUUUGGGAGCGGCUGGUCCGAUCCGUGAAAGCAGCCCUGACGGUGCUCCAAGACGGAAGAAGGUUGACGGAUGAAGUGCUGCUGACUACGUUGGCAGAAGCGGAGGACUUGGUGAAUUCUCGCCCGUUGACGUACGCCGGGCUUAGUCCGGAGGCUAGCGAAGCGUUGACACCGAACCACUUCGUGAAAGGUCCAGAGGUGGCGGUAGAGCGGGUUCCGAAGACAGACGAGGGUGAAGCGUUGCGGGACCUCUAUAAACGAUCGCAGGCACUGGCAGACCGCCUGUGGAAGCGAUGGGUAGCGGAGUACGUGCCAGCAAUCAACCAGCGUACCAGGUGGCACGCAGAGGUACAACCGAUCAGCCAGGGCGACCUGGUGUAUAUAGCGGACGAAGGAGCGAGGAAGAGUUGGACGCGAGGCGUGGUCAGCGAGGUGUACCCAGGCCCUGAUGGACGAGUACGGCAAGCACUGGUCAAGACGGCCAAAGGGGAGUUCAGGCGUCCGGUGGCGAAGCUGGCUGUGCUGGAGGUUCAAGAGCGUAACUCUGGUGCUGCUGGAGGAUCCCCCCAGAAUUACGGGGAGGGGGUAUGUACGCACCACCCAGCAUCGAAAACCCGUCAGCAGCGAGCGCCCUGCUGUGACGACUAGGUGCAGGAAAGGUAGGUGAAAAUUUGGUGGCUGAAUUCAGGCAGGACGAGCAUAAAUGUAAAUAUAAAUAAGAAGAGUUUGUAAACAGUAUCAUAUAGUAGCCAUUGCAAAUAGUAGAAAUUGAAUUCUAGUGCUAACUGUGAUUUGCAGCUAAAAAACUAAUUCCAAGUUGAAGAGGAGAGUAAAAAAGUAGCUCUAAUAGUUAAUUUGAAUACGGUGUUUGAGUGAGGUAUUUCGGAAGAUAGCUUGAUUCCAAAGCGAGUCCCGUGCAGCGAAACGCAACCUGAAAAGGAGAAAGGGGUGAAACGCACUAUAAAAUGUAAGUCGGAAAUUAUUAUAAGUUUUGUAAUCGGUAAUUAAUAGAAUACAUUUUAGUUUCAAGCUGUUGUAACAAAGUACACUGCUGUGGAAAUUUUAUUUCAAGAACUGGUCCGAACAAACGAU
RNA transcript from Aedes albopictus (Asian tiger mosquito), 7091 nucleotides. RefSeq lists it as uncharacterized. NCBI's taxonomy places the organism in Eukaryota, Metazoa, Arthropoda, Insecta, Diptera, Culicidae. The record is from RefSeq and is a predicted model, not a curated record. The transcript is spliced from 2 exons.